This 467-nucleotide ribosomal RNA is filed under the name uncultured bacterium. RNAcentral describes it as "partial 16S ribosomal RNA". It matches the Rfam family "Bacterial small subunit ribosomal RNA", at positions 29 to 507 of the family's 1533-position model. The record is from RNAcentral.
ACGAACGCUGGCGGCGUGCUUAACACAUGCAAGUCGAACGGAAAGGCCCUGCUUUUGUGGGGUGCUCGUGUGGCGAACGGGUGAGUAACACGUGAGUAACCUGCCCUUGACUUUGGGAUAACUUCAGGAAACUGGGGCUAAUACCGGAUAGGAGCUCCUGCUGCAUGGUGGGGGUUGGAAAGUUUCGGCGGUUGGGGAUGGACUCGCGGCUUAUCAGCUUGUUGGUGGGGUAGUGGCUUACCAAGGCUUUGACGGGUAGCCGGCCUGAGAGGGUGACCGGCCACAAGGGGACUGAGAUACGGCCCAGACUCCUACGGGAGGCAGCAGUGGGGAAUAUUGCACAAUGGGCGGAAGCCUGAGGCAGCAACGCCGCGUGCGGGAUGACGGCCUUCGGGUUGUAAACCGCUUUCGCCUGUGACGAAGCGUGAGUGACGGUAAUGGGUAAAGAAGCACCGGCUAACUACGUG